This 72-nucleotide transfer RNA is filed under the name Bos taurus (domestic cattle). It matches the Rfam family "tRNA". Rfam says of the family: Transfer RNA (tRNA) molecules are approximately 80 nucleotides in length. The record is from Rfam by way of RNAcentral. Lineage: Eukaryota; Metazoa; Chordata; Mammalia; Artiodactyla; Bovidae. RNAcentral also lists the same sequence under 3 other names.
UCUCUUAUAGCUCAGUUGGUAAAGAACCUACCUACAAGGCAGGAGACCCAGGUUUGAUUCCUGGUUUGGGAA